UGAAGAACGUAGCGAAAUGCGAUAAGUAAUGUGAAUUGCAGAAUUCAGUGAAUCAUCGAAUCUUUGAACGCACAUUGCGCCCGCUAGUAUUCUGGCGGGCAUGCCUGUCCGAGCGUCAUUUCAACCCUCAAGCCCCCGGGCUUGGUGUUGGGGAUCGGCGAGCCUCCGCGCCCGCCGUCCCCUAAAUCUAGUGGCGGUCUCGCUGUAGCUUCCUCUGCGUAGUAGCACACCUCGCACUGGGAAACAGCGCGGCCACGCCGUUAAACCCCCAACUUCUGAACGUUUGACCUCGGAUCAGGUAGGAAUACCCGCUGAACUUAAGCAUAUCAAUAAGCGGAGGA
Molecule: unclassified non-coding RNA, 341 nt
Filed under: soil metagenome
Description: partial contains 5.8S ribosomal RNA, internal transcribed spacer 2, and large subunit ribosomal RNA
Rfam family: 5.8S ribosomal RNA (bases 1-118)
Source: RNAcentral